GAAUACCAGAUUCGGCUAAGCGCUGUGCAAAACCAGCCCCCCAGGGCUGCCAGGCUGGUGCAAAAACAGAUCUUUCUCAACUUUGGGAUAACUCAUUCACAUUCCUGGUUUUCACAAUCAUUGCAAAACAGACCUCAGGAUUCUAGCAGCCAAGAUGCCGGGUAUAAUGAGCCUGGUCAGAGCUGCCUGGAAUUGCUAACGACUGCGGGUUUUUGUUUUUAAACCUAUGCCCUGGUUAGGGAAGGGAAACUUGUUGUGCAGGGUGCAGCAUCCCAAGCACAAAACGUGAUAAGAGGAAGAGUUAUGACUGCAGCCACCGCAGCGCGACUCCACUUUGGGGCUCUGCCAGAGUUCCCAUAAAACCCGCCUUUUUCUGGAGUCUACACCAUGCGCUCUUAUGUCAUCAAUUUAAGAGGCUUUUAUGAGAUGCCAGAGCAUGUUACUUAAAGCAUUCUCAUUUAUUUUGCCCUUAUGCUUUUAUUACAUAGAAUUUGAAUUAAAUCCAUUUGGCAAUGUUUUGCGGUGGAGGGAGGCAGGGGUCUGUCAGGAGGAGGAAAGGAAUUUGUUAGUGAGGGGAAAGCUCCUUUAGACCCCAGGGAGGGAACAGAAGUAAAUGUGCCCCGGGGUGGGAAGCGCGCCCUCCCCACAACUCGGUGAGAUGUGGAAAGUUCCUCACGCUUCACUAGGGCUUCCCUCCCUCCUACAAUCUGUGGUAGUUUUUCUAAAGGCUACUUCUGCCCUCCAUUGUUCUGUUCAAAACCCUCCAGCAACAUCACAUUGCUCUCAGAAUAAAACUCAGAUUCCACAUUUGAUAUUUUUCAUCACCUAAGAUCUGGCCUCAGUCUGCAUCUACACUUUAGAUUCUUUCCUUUUCUUCUCACUCUCCAGCUAAACACCAACUGCUACCUGUCGGUCAAGGGGGCAAGGGCCAGACAAAAUAUCACCUUGGCCUCAACAUUUCACAUUAUCCUUCCAGAAGGAAGUGGUUGGUUUCUUCUCUGAAUGCCUAUGGUGUUUUAUUGGUACAUCUUGAUGACAAUGAUCACUUUUUAUCUUGAUUUCUACAGUGCAUGCUUUUUUUCAAAAUUUUAAGUCUAGAACAACAGCUUCAUGAAUGUUCUAUCUUUGGAUCACUCUCAGCACGUAGCACAAUGAGUUGAACGUCAACCGCAUCCAAUGAAUAUCUGUUGAAUGGUUAUGUAUAUGCUGACCCCAGGAGGAAAUUUCUGAAUUAAGAAGCAUUUGUCACUUACCUAUGAGUAGGUCUUAAGUGUUUCUUUUAGAGGCUCCUCCCAGAAUCAUAUACCUCCCCCACCACCCUAAGAAAACAGGCCUGGUAACCACACAAAUCAGCCCCAUGGUUCCAUCGGUCGGCCCCACUCCAAGCUAGAGCCGCGGCCAGGCUGAUUCGCUCUGAUGUCAGAGAUCUGCAAUCAGAUGGCAUCUUGUAGAAGAUUACUAAAUACCAGGAUUGGGUUCAGCUGGUCACAAUAAAGAGGCUCCUACUCAGCCAGCACUAUUAAAACAGAGUCCAUCCUGAGAUCUUCAUGGAGCUAUAAUCAGGCCAAGCCCCUCGGGGACACCCCUGGAUCUGGGGACCUUCAUUCUGGCCCUUCACCUUGGUCAGACAUGGCCACACACCUCUCAUCUGCUUCUUUAUGUUGGGCCAUGGGCAGGCCCUUCCAUCCAGGCAAGUUCUCCCCAUGUCCAACUCGACUGCAGGACCAUUCAGCUGGGGAUCUUGCAACUAGCAGCCUUCUCCACCCCAGUGCCAGCUGCAGCCCAUCCCAGAAGGACCUUGCUUCCUGGGGCAGCUACAGCACGAGGAAGCAAUCUAAAUGGCUGAUUUCCAAAGAGGUGCAUGAGAGAGAAGCUUUCUAAGGAUGGAAUUUCUGGAUCCACAACAAGGUGAUAAGAUAUUCUUAGGUGGGGUAUGUAAUAUCGUUUUAUUUAAUUUGCGCAACAACUUCUGAGAUAAUAAAUGCUUUUAUCCUUGCUUUACAAAUGGGGAAACUGAGGCACAGCAAAAUUAAUCAAUUUGCCCAACAUCAAAAUUGGGUAAGCGGAAGAGACAACAUCCCAACCUGGGUCCUGAAGCAGUAGCUACCCCAUCUCAGCACACUGAGUUGCAACGAAAAGAACAGGGAUAGAUGGGAGCGUAUCCUAUGGGACCUGCAUUUAAUCAAUGGGCCCCCUGUCUUUUUGUUUUGUUUCUUUUUCCCAUCAAGCAGACCCGGCGCCUCCUGCUCCUGAUGCUGGCCCACCCUCCCUCCCAGGCAGGCACCCCUCCUGCGUGAUAGGGGGUUCCAGUUCUUACCCUCCAUCAUCCCUCCCCCACACAGAAAAAAAUGACAGGGAAAGAAAAAUAUCUGUUUUGUGGCCUUGAAGAUUUCAUUUUAGGAGCCAAUCCUACUUCGGCACCAAGUCAGCAGAAAUUUCUGAUGAUGAUGGGGUGCUUACUUUGUCAAUUAAUUUUUAAUUUAACAUUUUUUAUUUACUUUUUUGGGGAAAAUUCUACAGUCUCCUUCACCAUCCUGUCGAUAGAUGUCUUGAGAUCUCUUUUGUGUCCCUCUUAUUAUUUUCCCUUUUAUGCUUUUUAAAAAACAUUUUUUCACCUUGUCAUUCCCUGGGGCUUGUGUUGUCCUACAGCCUCAAUGAUCACCGCUGCCCAACUACAGUUUCCACCUGAGCUCCAGCCCUCAGCCGACACCUGCCGUGGGGUUUCUCCUCUCCUCACAGCCGGGCGGGCAGGCAGCACCUCCUUUCCCAGCUCUGCUGAUGGAGGAAGACCAAAGUGGGGAGCCAGAACCUUGGAAGUCGGGUCACAGUCCUGUGUGCAGAGCCACAGCUUGGCUGAGAGGCGUUCAAUGUUUGUGUCUUUUAGACAGCUGAGAGUUUUUUAAACAAAAAUUUGAACAGUAAUUUCCAUCCCUGAUAAAGAAUUAAAUUAUAUCAAAUGCGCAUUGUUUCUAUUCUUCUGAUAAAAAGAUCCAUAGGGGUUUUGCCCCUUGCUUUUCAAGUUGAGGCUAAUUCCAUUUCAUACGUAAUCUCCUCAAAGAGAGGAAGCCUCAGCCAAUGAAAUUGGGGGCUUCCCCUGCCUCCACUCCUGCCUGGAAAGCACGUGGACUCAUCAGCCCAUGGCAGUGGGUGUGCUUUGCACUUUUCCUGUAGUGAGGGAGGAGAAGCAGAGGCCUCCCACCCCAGACCUUCGACUAAUUCGUUAUCCAACAGAUGGGGAACACCCGCUCUGUGCCAGGCGGUAUGCUGGGCACAGGGGCUAGAAAAGAGAUGCUAUUAUGGUUCUAGGAAAGAAAAAUCAUACUCCUGUUCCAUCCUCUGAGUUCAAAACCAAUAGAGAGAUGCAUUCAAGAGUCUGACAGAUGGAGAUUAAAAUAUCAGCCUUGUUAUUGGUAAAAGCUGGAUUGGAGACAGGGCUUAGAUACGCAGCCUCCUGUUGUUUCCCACACUCACCCAACCCAUUACUGCAGAGCCGAACGACCGCAGCCUCCCCCACAGGGCAAAGCAUGCCCAGGACGCUCACUGCCAGGCUGAGAGCUGAUAACCGAGCUCCUCCACAGGAGUGACACCUGAAAAAGAAAGGAAGGAUGGAGACCAACGUACCAGCACCAGGCUCUCUCCAAGCUCACCAAUUCAACUCACCAUUUACUCCUCUGCAAGGAAGGAAUGAGUGAGGAUGAAAGGAGGGCCAGGAAUGUUGUUCCGGCUGAAGCCCUUCCACCUGGAAGCACGACGCCAGGGAACCGGAGAUGCCCCCCACAAACGUGCUCCUCCCCUCAUGGAGAAGAUGGCCCAGUGGGGAGACUGGAAAAGAAUUAUCAAAUGAUACGAUAAUUGCUUUACAGAGUGGGUGGUCCCUGGGCCAAGGCCAGAAGGAUGAGCAGCCCUUGCCAGCUGGACAAGUUGCAGAAGGACCAGAAUGUGCCAAGGCUCAGAGCCUGAUAUAAAGAGGGUGGGUGCAAGACAAGGGUGGAUGUGCAGGAAGUGACAAAGGUAGACUUUGUCCUCUGGCUCUCGAAGGAGCAGCUCCCUCUACCACCAUCUGUUUACUGUCAAGGAAUAAGGGAUCGAGCGCAGGACUCAGCAGGCAGAGGCUCCCCAGGGCAAAGACUGGCUUCCUUGGUGCCUGGUUCACAUGGGCGCUCAGCACAUAUUCGUUCUUUGAGCACACACCCAUCCCUCUGGCCGCUGUCCACCCCGCGUGGAGCAGGCCACUUUUCCUUCGUGCCUGUUUCUUUUAACUGCAGAGACCCCAGUCCGAGUCACCUUCUCACUUCCCUGAGCCUCUGUUGUGAACAUUCCCGGAGUGAUGUUUGCACAAGCCUGAUGUUCUCAGAAGCAUGGCUCUCUGUAAAUACAGAGUUUUAUUAUUAGAAGACGAUGAAUUUUUAAAAUGCCAGUUCUGGCCUUUUCAUCAUGACGGAGUGGAACUCAGGUCUGCCUACACUUUGCUCCUUCAUCAGAAACCUUGCGGGUCUCAGCUCGGUGCUGAGGACAUGACUUUGGGCAGCGGUCAAGGUCACAGCCACCCAGAGGAGCCAGGGAGAUCCUGUGAAUGAUGGAGGCUGCCCAGCUCAAGCAUGGCCACCCAACUCUUGGGAAUGUUCAGGAAUUCAGGUCCAGCAUGGCUUGUCAAGAGAAGGCAGAAAUCUGUAUUUUAUGUAAAAUCUCCUGAAUUUUAAACAUUUGCCUCAAAAUCCAAAAUUAAAAAAGAAUGGUAUGAAGGCCUAACAUGACACAGCUGUGGGCUGAAUGUGCUCCCCUCCUGCCGCCCACUGCCCUCUGGCUUCUGAUCGGUGGCAGCUCUGCCCCUAGUGGCAGGUUUCCAUAGCUGGCCCCUAUUGCUGAAAGGUGAGCUCAGGUCUCGAGGAAGUGACCUGGGUCACCCAGGGGAGGGCAAUGUCUGUGCUGUGCAUAAUAUUUUAAACUAUGGUUCUUAACAUUUUCAGCUUUACACUAAUUUUUCCUUUAAUGUUUCCAGUCGGAGGGCUUGCCCUGGUUGAGGUUGAUGUCCUCUGCACUGAUUCUUACCCAGAUGGGGAGACUGUGGGAUGAGGCACACAGAGCAGAGCCUGUGCCGUCACACAGGUCUUGGUUCAAAUCUUGGUUCUACCCUUUAUAGGCUGUGUGAUUUGGGCAAGUUGCUUAACCUUUCUGGACCUCUUCUGCAAAAGAGGGAUGGUCCUAAUCCCUAUUUCAAAGGACACCUGCGAGAGAGACUUCAGGGAAAGCAUCGAGGACCCUCUCUGGCAGAGUGAAACCCCAGAUACAGGGUUCCCUUCCCCUCAGUGCCUCCACUCCCAACGUAGAGUCCCAGGGGAUGUGGAAAGCCAGGUGGGCACUUCCGGGGAGAGAAAAAUAAGGAGACCAGAAUCAGCUAGCAUUUUGGAUGCAUCCUUAAUUCUCAGCAAGUUGUUGAUCUAACUGGGAAACAACUUGCCACGUGCUUAACUGGCCUCCUUUAGUAAUGGGAUCAAAUACGCUUUCAGGAUGAAGUCUGGGGCAUGGAGUCCUCUUCAGCUCUCGGCGGUUGCCCUCGGGCCCUGCAUGGGUAUAGAGUGAUUCAUUCUCUCGGGUGGAGAUCAUCUCCCUGCCUCCUCCUGGGCUGGCGCCAGAGAUGGUGGUGUGACUCCCUCCCAUGGUUUAUCAUUCCAUCUCAUUUCUCAGUUAUCUGUGGAUGGGUCUCUCCCCCAUGAGAUUGGAAGCCAGUGGCGGGGAGGGUUGGACGGCGGGCAGAGUCUCUGUCACAUUCAUCCUCGCGUCUCCUUCUUCCUCCAUCAACCUGGUGGCUGCCAAGUAGUGCUAAAAAAAACCCCAAACAAAACAAAACAAAACAAACUCUGCUAAUUAAGGACUAGGCCAAGAAGCAUUCCGACUGCAGUGCCUACAUUCUCUGCUAAUCCCAUUGUAGCUUUGGUCUAUUGAUAGUUUUCAUAUCCUUUUCCACUUUACAGCUUUCAAUGGUAUCAACUAACGCUCCACCACAGAAUUGUCGUCUGUCUCCCUCAUUACGUUAGAGAGUCUUUGGGUGACC
Molecule: long non-coding RNA, 6052 nt
Filed under: Equus caballus (horse)
Lineage: Eukaryota; Metazoa; Chordata; Mammalia; Perissodactyla; Equidae
Description: lncRNA (ENSECAG00000058746.1)
Source: RNAcentral